Molecule: transfer RNA, 58 nt
Filed under: Loxodonta africana (African savanna elephant)
Lineage: Eukaryota; Metazoa; Chordata; Mammalia; Proboscidea; Elephantidae
Rfam family: tRNA
About the family: Transfer RNA (tRNA) molecules are approximately 80 nucleotides in length. Their secondary structure includes four short double-helical elements and three loops (D, anti-codon, and T loops).
Source: Rfam by way of RNAcentral
UGGCGUAGUGAUUAAAGCACUUGGCUGCUGACCAAGAGGUUGGUGGUUCAAACCCACC